RNAcentral lists this ribosomal RNA (49 nucleotides) under Arthrinium sp. HGUP0122. Its description in RNAcentral is "partial 18S ribosomal RNA". Lineage: Eukaryota; Fungi; Ascomycota; Sordariomycetes; Amphisphaeriales; Apiosporaceae. The record is from RNAcentral.
UGUGAACCUACCCAGUUAUGCCUCGGCGUAAGCUCGGUUGGGGGCACCC